Puntigrus tetrazona (Sumatra barb) is the source of this 1028-nucleotide long non-coding RNA. RefSeq lists it as uncharacterized. The record is from RefSeq and is a predicted model, not a curated record. The transcript is spliced from 2 exons. Lineage: Eukaryota; Metazoa; Chordata; Actinopteri; Cypriniformes; Cyprinidae.
GAUGACCAAUGAACGAUUCCUACCGCGGACUUAUGAAUUAACUAACGUUUCAUGAAUAUAAAUUAGGACGCGUGACUGGACACUUCGAGGAGAUAAAGAAGGAGCGUCAUCGCAACCUAAUUAAUAUUCAUGAGCUUGUGCAACUCCAUAGUAGGAUUCGUAAUUUCGGUUCCCCUCUGUAUCUGAUGCACAGGAUUGUCAGUUCUUCCGAAGAGCCGUCAUCACCGCCUCACUGAUGCCCUCGCUAGACGGACGCACGAAUGAAGCACUCUAACGAAUCUCUUCUGUUUAACGAUUCGGUCACAGCGAGCAUGACUUCAAUACGUGAAUCGUUUUAUGAACCGAACCGCCUGAGAUAACCGAUUCGCUAAAACGAUUCAACUGAGAAACUCCAGGACCCUCAUGAUGGUGCAAAAUCAAAGGACAAUCUUCCCUUUACAUCUUCCGUGUUGCAUCUAAGCAGAAUGUGGGAAAUGAGCAAACAAAAUCUCAUAUAUGGAUGCAUUUAACUCAAGAAUCUUCCUUCGGUUUAACCUGCAUUGUACUACAGGUAAAUACUCAGAAAUAUUGCUACAUUAAAACGUCUUCGUUCACACUGUAGCCCAAACUGAUUUGAUUCAAUUUUACAUUUUUUUUUUAACAUGACAAUUAUUAAAUCAGGGUUAACUUUGGUUGUGCUAAACAAAACAAAUGACAGAUCACCAAUGACUUUUAAUACACAAAUGUUUAUUCAGCCAAACUAAGCAACAUUAUAAGAACAGAUGUGUGACUGAGCAAGAGAGUGGACUUGACAGAUCAGGACACAAGUCUCUAGUUAAAAGAUUUACUGAAGAUAAAUCACAUUCCUCAGAAACUCUGCUACUAUCUUUACUGUCACUGUGCAUGGUGCCACGCUGUAAAAACAGAAAAGUCUAAUCCAAAGACCUAAAAGCAUCACGUUUAACAUUCUUUUUUUCGACAUUUUUCUGUUCUUUAAUAAGAAAUAAAUUUUAGACCGCAGAAUCUGUGGUACUGGUUGUAACCUACCA